RNAcentral lists this transfer RNA (66 nucleotides) under Entemnotrochus rumphii. RNAcentral's name for it is "tRNA-Asn". It matches the Rfam family "tRNA". From Rfam's summary of the family: Transfer RNA (tRNA) molecules are approximately 80 nucleotides in length. Their secondary structure includes four short double-helical elements and three loops (D, anti-codon, and T loops). The record is from RNAcentral. Lineage: Eukaryota; Metazoa; Mollusca; Gastropoda; Pleurotomariida; Pleurotomariidae.
UGAGCAGAAGCCAAUGUGGCGUCUAACUGUUAAUUAGGAGUCUGUAGGUUAAUUCUACCUGCCCAG